AAAGAAAAGAGUGGACAGGCAAGACGUGACAGCUGAAGGGUGAAAGAAAGGUGAGAAGAGAGAAACAGAGGGAGGGUAAAUAUUAAAAUGACUGAUGUGCACUCUCUAAUCUCAAGUGCAGCUGGCAGCGGAGCUGCAUUGUCAAGCCGGUGUAACAAACUGACAAACCCUGGCACUAAUGCAACGUAGCAGAAAGACAGCCAACAAGGCAGAGCUGCAGACGGAAAGAGAGAGGGAUCAUUUCCUUUUUUCCUCCUUAACAAAAACCUAAAGACAGACUGCCGCGCGUACACAUCCGGUAUUAAACACCGAGGCCAGGAACUCUGUGUGAUUUGGAAACAUGGUUUCUGAUCGAGCCGUUGUCGUUCACUUGGUUAGCAUUAGCAUUUAGCAUUUUGUUCAGAGAAAUAUGAGUAUCAGAUGUUGAUCCAACAUGAGGUUCGCCAAGAUGUUUAUAGGAACCAGAAUUUUACGCAACCUUCUUCAGUUUCAGUGGAAAAAAAAGCCGACAACUCAAACGGCUAAUAUAGCAGGGUUAGCUAACAUGCUCUCAAUCACAAUUAGGGAAGAAGGCAGAGGACAGCUGAGUGGUUGCAGCCAUUAGUGGAGAUCAUUAUAGUUGACAAUCACACAGAAUGUGACUUUAUUAAGAAAAAGUGGGAUGGAGAGAGAGAGAACUGAAAAUCUGUGGGAUUCUGUGGACCGGAGGCUAAAACCUGUCAAGCUCAUCGACCACCUUUCCAUCUGUCCAUCUACUGGAUGACACGCUGUCUGGCUGCCCGUCUUUCUGCUCAACGGUUUGUUCCC
Long non-coding RNA from Poecilia latipinna (sailfin molly), 807 nucleotides. RefSeq lists it as uncharacterized. The transcript has 2 exons. The record is from RefSeq and is a predicted model, not a curated record. NCBI's taxonomy places the organism in Eukaryota, Metazoa, Chordata, Actinopteri, Cyprinodontiformes, Poeciliidae.